Zingiber officinale is the source of this 107-nucleotide small nucleolar RNA. The record is from RefSeq and is a predicted model, not a curated record. Lineage: Eukaryota; Viridiplantae; Streptophyta; Magnoliopsida; Zingiberales; Zingiberaceae.
AUCCCAUGAUGUGGAAAUUAGUAUAAAAGAUUUAAGAAUUUGUCCCAUACUUGGCAUAGCAUUUCCCCUUCCUUCUGUUCAAAAUGUAGGAUUUGAUUCCUAAGUUU